CCUACGGGCGGCAGCAGUGAGGAAUAUUGGUCAAUGGACGAAAGUCUGAACCAGCCAAGUAGCGUGAAGGAUGACUGCCCUAUGGGUUGUAAACUUCUUUUAUAUGGGACUAAAAUGUUCCACGUGUGGGAUUUUGUAUGUACCAUCUGAAUAAGGACCGGCUAACUCCGUGCCAGCAGCCGCGGUAAUUCGGAGGAUACGAGCGUUAUCCGGAUUUUUUGGGGUUAAAGGGAGCGUAGGUGGAUUGUUAAGUCAGUUGUGAAAGUUUGCGGGUCAACCGUAAAGUUGCAGUUGAAACUGGCAGUCGUGAGUACAGUAGAGGCAGGCGGAAUUCGUGGUGUAGCGGUGAAAUGCUUAGAUAUCACGAAGAACUCCGAUGGCGAAGGCAGUUCACUGGACUGCAACUGACGCUGAGGCUCGAAAGUGUGGGUAGCAAACAGGAUUAGAUACCCGGGUAGUC
RNAcentral lists this ribosomal RNA (460 nucleotides) under uncultured bacterium. RNAcentral's name for it is "partial 16S ribosomal RNA". It matches the Rfam family "Bacterial small subunit ribosomal RNA", at positions 338 to 795 of the family's 1533-position model. The record is from RNAcentral.